RNAcentral lists this microRNA precursor (61 nucleotides) under Pristionchus pacificus. RNAcentral describes it as "mir-8364 microRNA precursor family". It matches the Rfam family "mir-8364 microRNA precursor family". Lineage: Eukaryota; Metazoa; Nematoda; Chromadorea; Rhabditida; Neodiplogasteridae. The record is from Rfam by way of RNAcentral.
UCUUCAUUUUACACACUCUCUUGCCUCUCCGAGAGGUGAGAGAGUGUGUGAAAUGAAGAGA